This is a long non-coding RNA of Prunus dulcis (almond), 1091 nucleotides long. RefSeq lists it as uncharacterized. Lineage: Eukaryota; Viridiplantae; Streptophyta; Magnoliopsida; Rosales; Rosaceae. The record is from RefSeq and is a predicted model, not a curated record. The transcript is spliced from 2 exons.
UUUCCCCUUUUUUUUCACCGGUUCGGUUCGGUGUUCCGGUCCCGAUGCCCACCCCUAGCCAUAGAUGCUUCGAAGUAUUCUGAAUUUUGUUGCAGGAACUAUAUCUUGAACAGUCUGGAUGAUAAUCUUUAUGAUAUUUAUCCAACCUAUAAAAUAGCCAAGGAAUUAUGGGAAUCACUAGAGAAAAAAAAUAUAAAAUCGAAGAUGCUGGUUCUAAGAAGUUUUUCAUUGGCAAAGUUCUGAAAUUUAGUAUGGUGGAUUCCAGGUCUGUCGUCACACAAGUUGAAGAACUCCAUAAGUUAAUCUUUGAACUUCAUGCCGAGGAAUGAUCAAUUAAUGAACAUUUUUAGGCUACGAGUGGAAGAGGAUCAUAAGAAGGGUCACAAAAAUGAUGUGUCUGCCUUAGAAGCCAAUGCCAAUAUCGUUGAGGGAAAAGCCUUCAAACCAAAGGAUCAAUCUAAGAAGAAUAAGGGGAAGAAUUUUAACAAGCAAGAUGUUGCCUUUGCACUAAAGGCAAAGGAUUUCAAGAAGAUUAAGGGCUCUUGCUGGGUUUGUGGAAAACUAGGCCAUAAAGCACAAGAAUAUCGCCACCGAAUGGACCAUAAUCCUACCAAUCAAGGCAACAAUCAUAGGAGAAACAACUAGGCCAAUGUGACUGAGGAUUUUGUUGCUGUUGUUUCAUAAACCAAUAUGGUUUCGAAUGACAAAGAUUGGUGGAUAUUGAUACAGGUGCUACCAAGCAUAUUUAUGGUGACAUAAAUAUGUUUUCUGAUUACCAUCAGAUUUCUGGUGGAGAAAAGCAAUAUAUGGGCAAUGCCUCUGCUUCUGUAAUUCAAGGAAAAGGCAAAGUGGUGCUGAAAUUCACUUCUGGAAACCCUGCAGAAUGUGCUGCAUGUUCCAGAAAUGAGGAAAAAUCUUGUGUCAGGCCCAUUGUUGAGUAACAAGGGCUUUAAACUUGUACUUGCGUUUGACAAGUUUGUCCUAACUAAGGGAGGAACGUUUGCAGGAAAAGGCUACUUGGCUGAUGGUCUUUUCCAACUCAAUGUAUUAACUUUUGAUGCUAUUACUGAAAUAAAUAAGGCUUCUACUUA